CCUACGGGAGGCAGCAGUGAGGAAUAUUGGUCAAUGGGCGCACGCCUGAACCAGCCAAGUCGCGUGAGGGAAGACUGCCCUACGGGUUGUAAACCUCUUUUGUCAGGGAGCAACGCCGGCCACGUGUAGCCCGACUGAGAGUACCUGAAGAAAAAGCAUCGGCUAACUCCGUGCCAGCAGCCGCGGUAAUACGGAGGAUGCGAGCGUUAUCCGGAUUUAUUGGGUUUAAAGGGUGCGUAGGCGGAAUGCCAAGUCAGUGGUAAAAUCGAGGGGCUCAACCUCGCUCCGCCGUUGAAACUGGCGGUCUUGAGUGGGCGAGAAGUAUGCGGAAUGCGUGGUGUAGCGGUGAAAUGCAUAGAUAUCACGCAGAACUCCGAUUGCGAAGGCAGCAUACCGGCGUCCAACUGACGCUGAAGCACGAAAGCGUGGGUAUCGAACAGGAUUAGAUACCCUGGUAGUC
Molecule: ribosomal RNA, 460 nt
Filed under: uncultured bacterium
Lineage: Bacteria
Description: partial 16S ribosomal RNA
Rfam family: Bacterial small subunit ribosomal RNA
Source: RNAcentral